Molecule: ribosomal RNA, 253 nt
Filed under: uncultured bacterium
Lineage: Bacteria
Description: partial 16S ribosomal RNA
Rfam family: Bacterial small subunit ribosomal RNA
Source: RNAcentral
UACGAAGGGGGCUAGCGUUGCUCGGAAUCACUGGGCGUAAAGGGUGCGUAGGCGGGUCUUUAAGUCAGGGGUGAAAUCCUGGAGCUCAACUCCAGAACUGCCUUUGAUACUGAGGGUCUUGAGUUCGGGAGAGGUGAGUGGAACUGCGAGUGUAGAGGUGAAAUUCGUAGAUAUUCGCAAGAACACCCGUGGCGAAGGCGGCUCUCUGGGACGGUACUGACGCUGAGACGCGAAAGCGUGGGGAGCGAACAGG